GAUGAACGCUGGCGGCGUGCCUAAUACAUGCAAGUCGAACGAAACUUCUUUAUCACCGAGUGCUUGCACUCACCGAUAAAGAGUUGAGUGGCGAACGGGUGAGUAACACGUGGGCAACCUGCCCAAAAGAGGGGGAUAACACUUGGAAACAGGUGCUAAUACCGCAUAACCAUAGUUACCGCAUGGUAACUAUGUAAAAGGUGGCUAUACUACCGCUUUUGGAUGGGCCCGCGGCGCAUUAGCUAGUUGGUAGGGUAAAGGCUUACCAAGGCAAUGAUGCGUAGCCGAAUUGAGAGGUUGAUCGGCCACAUUGGGACUGAGGCACGGCCCAAACUCCUACGGGAGGCAGCAGUAGGGAAUCUUCCACAAUGGGCGAAAGCCUGAUGGAGCAACGCCGCGUGGGUGAAGAAGGUCUUCGGAUCGUAAAACCCUGUUGUUAGAGAAGAAAGUGCGUGAGAGUAACUGUUCACGUUUCGACGGUAUCUAACCAGAAAGCCACUGCUAACUACGUG
RNAcentral lists this ribosomal RNA (512 nucleotides) under uncultured bacterium. RNAcentral describes it as "partial 16S ribosomal RNA". It matches the Rfam family "Bacterial small subunit ribosomal RNA", at positions 28 to 507 of the family's 1533-position model. The record is from RNAcentral.